This 253-nucleotide ribosomal RNA is filed under the name uncultured bacterium. RNAcentral describes it as "partial 16S ribosomal RNA". It matches the Rfam family "Bacterial small subunit ribosomal RNA", at positions 524 to 776 of the family's 1533-position model. The record is from RNAcentral.
UACGUAGGGGGCUAGCGUUGUCCGGAUUUAUUGGGCGUAAAGAGCGUGUAGGCGGCCAGGUAGGUCUGGUGUGAAAACUCGAGGCUUAACCUCGAGAUGUCAUCGGAAACCAUCUGGCUAGAGUUCGGAAGAGGCGAGUGGAAUUCCCGGUGUAGCGGUGAAAUGCGCAGAUAUCGGGAGGAACACCUAUGGCGAAGGCAGCUCGCUGGGACGUUACUGACGCUGAGACGCGAAAGCGUGGGGAGCAAACAGG